RNAcentral lists this unclassified non-coding RNA (369 nucleotides) under Bombus terrestris (buff-tailed bumblebee). RNAcentral's name for it is "misc RNA ENSBTSG00005020952.1". The record is from RNAcentral. Lineage: Eukaryota; Metazoa; Arthropoda; Insecta; Hymenoptera; Apidae.
CCAGCGCUGCUUGACUUUCGUGAUCGGACGAGAACGAGUAUUUUCAACGCGGUAUGAACGUUGGCUGAGGUAAUCAGUUUUGUUAUUUCAUGUUAUCGAAUAGACUAAAUAUUUAAGAAAACAUACAUGUAUAUAUGAGGAUAAAUGGUAUUUUCAGACGUGCAGACAGAUAUAUAAAAUUUUUCCUGGCUUCGUUUCCCAAACAAUGGAUUGUGAAGUUCCGUCAUGUAGGAAAUCAGGCCCUUUCGACUUGCACCAUCAUAAUACUCUAAUUUUCGCGCCUACUUCAAUUUUGAAACUAUUUAAUUUCACUGGAUUGCGUAUAACUACCAACAGUAAAAUACUAACAUUCACGAACGACACGGCUGU